AACUAGAUAGCGGCGUGUCAAAUACAUGCAAGUCGAGCGAACUGAUUAGAAGCUUGCUUCUAUGACGUUAGCGGCGGACGGGUGAGUAACACGUGGGCAACCUGCCUGUAAGACUGGGAUAACUUCGGGAAACCGAAGCUAAUACCGGAUAGGAUCUUCUCCUUCAUGGGAGAUGAUUGAAAGAUGGUUUCGGCUAUCACUUACAGAUGGGCCCGCGGUGCAUUAGCUAGUUGGUGAGGUAACGGCUCACCAAGGCAACGAUGCAUAGCCGACCUGAGAGGGUGAUCGGCCACACUGGGACUGAGACACGGCCCAGACUCCUACGGGAGGCAGCAGUAGGGAAUCUUCCGCAAUGGACGAAAGUCUGACGGAGCAACGCCGCGUGAGUGAUGAAGGCUUUCGGGUCGUAAAACUCUGUUGUUAGGGAAGAACAAGUACAAGAGUAACUGCUCGUACCUUGACGGUACCUAACCAGAAAGCCACGGCUAACUACGUGCCAGCAGCCGCGGUAAUACGUAGGUGGCAAGCGUUAUCCGGAAUUAUUGGGCGUAAAGCGCGCGCAGGCGGUUUCUUAAGUCUGAUGUGAAAGCCCACGGCUCAACCGUGGAGGGUCAUUGGAAACUGGGGAACUUGAGUGCAGAAGAGAAAAGCGGAAUUCCACGUGUAGCGGUGAAAUGCGUAGAGAUGUGGAGGAAACACCCAGUGGCGAAGGCGGCUUUUUUGGUCUGUAACUGACGCUGAGGCGCGAAAGCGUGGGGAGCAACCAGGGAUUAGAUACCCUGGUAGUCCACGCCGUAAAACGAUGAGUGCCUAGAGUGUUAGAGGGUUCCCGCCCCUAUAGUGCCUGCAACCUAACGUCAUUUAAGCC
Molecule: ribosomal RNA, 868 nt
Filed under: Priestia megaterium
Lineage: Bacteria; Bacillati; Bacillota; Bacilli; Caryophanales; Bacillaceae
Description: bacterial SSU rRNA
Rfam family: Bacterial small subunit ribosomal RNA
Source: RNAcentral